GUGAACGGCGUCCAUACACCUCAUAGCUCAGUGAGCAGUCCUUCCCGCUCCGAUUGCUUACUUGGCUGCACUCGAUCUCCAUGCAUUGGACUUGCGUUCUCGCCGAGGAGUCGUGUGUUCACUGAACCUGCCGCGGCCUUUUUUUCUCAUUGUUCUUACCCCGUCUAUGCAAAGACGCAUUUGAGCGAUCAGCGCUCUUUCCCCAGGACACCGUGCAGAGCGCAGCCUCGGGCUUCGCCUCCCGCCUCGCUCCAUCCCUCCCGCUCCCAGGGCCCGCGGGCAGGGGCCGCAGUGACCCACGGGAACGGCCUCCCGCCUCCCGCCUCCCGCGUCCCCGCGGCCGAGCCUCCGGACGUCGCCGCUCAGGACCCUCGGCGAGCCCGGGAGCCGCUGUACGGCGGAGCCUCGGCAAGAUGGCCGCGCCCAGCCGGCUGCCCAGGGGCGCCGCCAUGGCAGCCGCGGGCCCGGCUGAGGCCGCGCUCCAGCGCCGCCAUGUCGGCCUCGGCCUGCGAGCGGGUGCGCACAAAGCCGGAGGGCGUGGGCCCGAGGGGGAGCGCGGGGACGGCCGAGGGGGCCGGGCGUCCCGCCGAGAUGGCUGCGCCCCAGCCGGGGGGCAGCGCCGCGAUUUGGUGGACACGAGCGGGAGCCCGAGUGGGUGACAGUGGUUCUGCUUUGGCCAUGUCAGGACGCCCAUUAGAUGUCCAGGUGAGGAAUGGGUAGUUAAAUGUAGGAAUCUAUUUUUCAAAUAUUUUAUUUAUUUAUUUGAGGAGGGGAGAACCAGUAAGGGAGAGAAAGCACAGGCAGGGCAGGGUGGGGGAGGCGGAGGCAGAGGGGGAAACAGACUGCCUGCUGAGCAGGGAGCCCCAUGUGGGGCAUGAUCCCGGGACCCAGGGAUGUGACCUGAGGCUAACACUUAACCAGCUCAACCACCCGCUCCUAAAUGUAUGAAUCUAGAACUCAGGAGAGGUUUGGGCUGGAGAAUCCAAAUGUGAAAGGCAUCAGCAUAAAGAUGGUAUUUAAAGCCAAAGGAUUGGAUAAGAUCAUUUAGGGAGAGAAGGCAGAGAAGAAAAGAAGACCAAGGACAGAGCUCUGGGUCACUCUGACAUGUAGAGGUUUGGUAGAGAACAGGAAAAAAAAAAAAAAAAAAAAAAGGAGAAGGAGAAAGAAGGAGGAGAAGGAGAAAAAGAAUGAAGAGUAGUAGCCACUGAGAUAUGAUGAAAAUCGUAAAUGUGGGGUCAAAGAAGCAUAAAGAAGAAAAAUUUUCAAGACAAUGCAACUUGUGUUGUCACAGUUGUGUCCUAUGCUCUUAUUAAUCCCAGACACAUGACUGCAGAGAAUUUGACUUUGGCAAGAUUGUAGCUCAAUGGUUAUUUUGAUUGAUUAGAGCUUUUUUAGUGGAGUGAUAGGGAUAAAAUCCUGCUGGAAUGAGUUGAAAGGUAAUGAAGUAGAGACAGCAAGUUUAGACAACACCAGGAGUUUUGCUGGUAAAAGAGCAAAUGAAUUGACAUUGGUUGGGACAUGGAAUUAAGAAAUGGUUUUCAUGGGGAUCCCUGGGUGGCUCAGCAGUUUAGUGCCCGCCUUUGGCCCAGGGCGUGAUCCUGGAGUCCCGCCUUGGGCUUCCUGCAUGGAGCCUGUUUCUCCCUCUGCCUGUGUCUGUGCCUCUUUCUCUCUCUGUGUCUAUCAUGAAUAAAUAAAUAAAAUCUUUAAAAAAAUUUUUAAAA
Molecule: long non-coding RNA, 1721 nt
Filed under: Vulpes vulpes (red fox)
Lineage: Eukaryota; Metazoa; Chordata; Mammalia; Carnivora; Canidae
Description: lncRNA (ENSVVUG00000002150.1)
Source: RNAcentral